GUUCUAAUACUUUUGAGCUACUGAAUCUGAUCCAGGACAGCUUACCUUUGGACACUGACUAGAAACCUGUAUUCCUUAAGUGCCUAAGAUCCCUGGUGCCAAGACACUUGGGGACCUCUGAUCCACAGGACCUAACGGCACCCACAGCACAUGGUAAGUGCUUUGCUUAUUGAGUGAAUUCACAGAGUAAGGUCAGUCAGUCCAUUAUUUAUUCAAGGAUUUUUGGAAAGUUGAAAAAAGCAUGGCUUGACUAAUGACAGAAUAAAAUUUAAUAGGACUCAUAUACAGUUCUGGUAAAAUAAGAUAAAGUUUUCAGCCACUACUAAGAGAUUUUUAUUUUUUUUAAUAAUAAAAAAAGAAGAUUACACAGACAUCCCCCAUUAUUAUGUGUUUGUUUCUCUCUUGAAAGUCUGCCUUCUGGCA
This is a long non-coding RNA of Homo sapiens (human), 423 nucleotides long. The record is from Ensembl. NCBI's taxonomy places the organism in Eukaryota, Metazoa, Chordata, Mammalia, Primates, Hominidae.